GGAAGGAUCAUUAUCGAACUUGGAUCCGAAGGGGAAGGACGAGCGAGCGAAGCUUGCAGAAGCAUUAGAGAUCGUCGCUGGCCUUUGGAAACGAAGGCAUGUGCACGUCUCGACCCUCUGCUCGGUCCUCGUUCUCUUUCCUUUCGUAAAUCUUUGACACCCGUGCACCUCUUGUAGAUCCCUGAGAGGGGAUCUAUGUCUUCAUAAACUCUUCGUAUGUCCAGGAAUGUAUCUAAAGCGUCGACCGGCUUGGCUGAACGUCCAGUCGGCGACGGUAAAGAACGUAAUACAACUUUCAGCAACGGAUCUCUUGGCUCUCGCAUCGAUGAAGAACGCAGCGAAUUGCGAUAAGUAAUGUGAAUUGCAGAUUUUCAGUGAAUCAUCGAAUCUUUGAACGCACCUUGCGCUCCUUGGUAUUCCGAGGAGCAUGCCUGUUUGAGUGUCAUUUAACUCUCAACCAUCCCUCGACUGAUUUUUUCGAGGUUUGGCUUGGAUUUUGGGAGCUGCCGGCGACCGGAUCGGGUCCUUGGCUCUCCUCAAAAGCAUUAGCGACGGUGGUGUGACCUCCCCCGUGCAUGAACGGCCUUCGAUGUGAUAAUGAUCGUCGUGGGCUGGAGUGCUAGCGGGCGUCGCGUUCGGCGCUUCUAAUUCUCGUCGAAAGACGAAAUAUAUCGAAACUUUGACCUCAAAUCAGG
RNAcentral lists this ribosomal RNA (695 nucleotides) under uncultured fungus. RNAcentral describes it as "eukaryotic LSU rRNA". The stretch from base 291 to 445 matches the Rfam family "5.8S ribosomal RNA". The record is from RNAcentral. Lineage: Eukaryota; Fungi.